Long non-coding RNA from Dipodomys spectabilis (banner-tailed kangaroo rat), 100 nucleotides. RefSeq lists it as uncharacterized. Lineage: Eukaryota; Metazoa; Chordata; Mammalia; Rodentia; Heteromyidae. The record is from RefSeq and is a predicted model, not a curated record. The transcript has 3 exons.
CUCAUAUCUCUUAGUAUUCCAAGUCUUCCAGCUUCUUGCAGACUUGCUUGAGCUGAUCAAAGAUACAUUAGAGGACCGUAUAUUCUUUGCUGUCUUAUUU